AGACCCGAAACCCGGUGAUCUAGCCAUGGGCAGGUUGAAGGUUGGGUAACACUAACUGGAGGACCGAACCGACUAAUGUUGAAAAAUUAGCGGAUGACCUGUGGCUGGGGGUGAAAGGCCAAUCAAACCGGGAGAUAGCUGGUUCUCCCCGAAAGCUAUUUAGGUAGCGCCUCGUGAAUUCAUCUCCGGGGGUAGAGCACUGUUUCGGCUAGGGGGCCAUCCCGGCUUACCAACCCGAUGCAAACUGCGAAUACCGGAGAAUGUUAUCACGGGAGACACACGGCGGGUGCUAACGUCCGUCGUGAAGAGGGAAACAACCCAGACCGCCAGCUAAGGUCCCAAAGUCAUGGUUAAGUGGGAAACGAUGUGGGAAGGCCCAGACAGCCAGGAUGUUGGCUUAGAAGCAGCCAUCAUUUAAAGAAAGCGUAAUAGCUCACUGGUCGAGUCGGCCUGCGCGGAAGAUGUAACGGGGCUAAACCAUGCACCGAAGCUGCGGCAGCGACACUGUGUGUUGUUGGGUAGGGGAGCGUUCUGUAAGCCU
RNAcentral lists this ribosomal RNA (541 nucleotides) under Salmonella enterica. RNAcentral's name for it is "partial 23S ribosomal RNA". It matches the Rfam family "Bacterial large subunit ribosomal RNA", at positions 711 to 1250 of the family's 2925-position model. Lineage: Bacteria; Pseudomonadati; Pseudomonadota; Gammaproteobacteria; Enterobacterales; Enterobacteriaceae. RNAcentral also lists the same sequence under 4 other names. The record is from RNAcentral.